Vespa mandarinia (Asian giant hornet) is the source of this 335-nucleotide long non-coding RNA. Lineage: Eukaryota; Metazoa; Arthropoda; Insecta; Hymenoptera; Vespidae. The record is from RefSeq and is a predicted model, not a curated record.
CCACACGAUAAAUUAAUGCUGUUAUGGCGUUGUCUGCGUUAGUAGACUCGGCAAGUCUAUCAAGACGGAGACGCAUCUUCGUCAUAUUCUCGAAUAGGAAACGCGCGUCGUUAAACUGUAGUGGGAAACGAAGCGGCCCAAGGAAAACGGGAAACGACAAUGAAAUUUCUAUCAAGAAUCAGCAUCGUCGUUAUGAAACGAAUAAGCCAACCAGCGACAACAUCACUGCCAUUGUGGAACGCAGCCUCGAGCACUGGUACGACCAAUCAUUUCGUCUACCGAGAAGAGUAGAUCGACGUAUUCGGGCAAUGAACUUUUGAUUAAACAAAGAAAAU